GACCUGCUUUCAAGUUUUCAAUGAGGGUUCAAAACACAAGGACCUAAAGUGAGAAAGCGAUGAGUGAUUUGGAAGAACAAGAAGGUACAAAGGAAGCCUGCAGUGGCUUGAAAGCUGAACUUAUAUCCUGUUUAAGGAAAAGUGAUUGCAUGAAAAAGGAAGGAAAAGCCUUGAAAGAAUGCAUGGCAGCAGAUGCUAACGUGGAUGCGGAAUGCAAACAAACACAAUAUUCAUUUUUUGAAUGUCGGCGCUCUAUGCUUGAUAUGAGAAAUCGAUUUCGUGGAAGAAAAGGUUAUUAAUUAUAAAACAAGACACCAGUACCAAUUAAAGUUGGUGCGAGUUGAUGAAUUAUGGAUGUUUAUUAUAUGGAAAUAUUACUGACAAAAACACGCAAAAGAAGCAAAUAAGUUGUUUGUUUCCACAGCGUGCAAUUUGACGGCAGCCCUAUUUGUUUUGAUUUAACCUUAUCGCUUUCGUUUAAUUUUUUGUAAUCAAUUUCACGCGAGUCUUUUAUGCGACGAACUUUCAUGAAAUGUUAUUGACAACGUCGCUGCAGAUUGUCCUCAUUCUUGUCCCUAUUAUGCUUUUGUUGCACUGUUUAAUUAACGUGCGUCAGGGUGUUUGUUUAAAUAAGCACACUGAUGCGCCUUAUUCCUGACUUUUCAACCUGAAUUAAAAGAUUGCAUAACUUUUUCUUAAUUAAAUAAAAUCUUGAAUAAAGGGUUGUUCUGUAUUCUUUUGGAGGGAGUUUCUCUGAAAUAUCCCGCUCAUUGCUUUUUCACGACCAAAUGUUUGUAUUAGUCGUUAUUCUUCUAUAAUGUUUGUUUUUUUCUGUUAUUUAGAAUAAUAUAAAAAAAAAAUUGUGAACGAGUUUUCCUGAGGGACAAAAAUUGUGGUUUUGAUAAAUAUAUACACGAAAAGUAUAGUUAUAAUUGUAUUGCGAGUGCAACAUAUAGAGUUGAAGCAGCUGUUUUUAGAACGGUUGCCACGACUACAAAGCAUAACAUAAACUUCGUCACGGUUGAAAAUAUUGUAAAGAUUUGGAUGAGGGUCAACUGAAAUUUAUUGUGCAGAUAAAAAGUCUUCUCAACAUGCAGCACUCGUGUUAUGAUCUUGGAUUCUUCGUCUGCCGGUCGUUCACGGUUACUCUUGUAAACGCGAUAGUGUUUGGAAUAAAACACUAAAUUUGCGAUAGUUUUUGGAGUAAAAAACUACUUACUCUCAAAAAAACACCGAAAAUUUUUGCUACAAUUUCUCUCAAAAUGUUUCUCUUAAAAAGCGCUUGUAAAUUAAAUUGUUUACGAGGACGUUGCACCAGUAAUAGUAGUUACAGAGGGCAUAUUGAGGAGAAUUCAGAAGUUUGACCUCUCAGACCUACUUUGUGCAAUACUCCAUUUUCCAUAUCAAUUUUGCCGUAAAUCAAAAC
This is an RNA transcript of Hydractinia symbiolongicarpus, 1426 nucleotides long. It is a transcript of the gene named cytochrome c oxidase assembly factor 5-like, with no coding region annotated. The record is from RefSeq and is a predicted model, not a curated record. The transcript is spliced from 4 exons. Lineage: Eukaryota; Metazoa; Cnidaria; Hydrozoa; Anthoathecata; Hydractiniidae.